This 1873-nucleotide ribosomal RNA is filed under the name Enterococcus faecalis. RNAcentral describes it as "partial 23S ribosomal RNA". It matches the Rfam family "Bacterial large subunit ribosomal RNA", at positions 664 to 2527 of the family's 2925-position model. The record is from RNAcentral. Lineage: Bacteria; Bacillati; Bacillota; Bacilli; Lactobacillales; Enterococcaceae.
AGCCGCAGCGAAAGCGAGUCUGAAUAGGGCGAAUGAGUACGUAGGCGUAGACCCGAAACCGUGUGAUCUACCCCUGUCCAGGGUGAAGGUGCGGUAACACGCACUGGAGGCCCGAACCCACGAAUGUUGAAAAAUUCGGGGAUGAGGUGGGGGUAGCGGAGAAAUUCCAAUCGAACUCGGAGAUAGCUGGUUCUCCCCGAAAUAGCUUUAGGGCUAGCCUCGGAGGAAGAGUCGUGGAGGUAGAGCACUGAUUGGGUGCGGGGCCCGCCAAGGGUUACCAAGCUCAGUCAAACUCCGAAUGCCAUGGACUUAUUAUCCGGGAGUCAGACAAUGGGUGCUAAGGUCCGUUGUCAAGAGGGAAACAGCCCAGACCAUCAGCUAAGGCCCCUAAGUGUACGUUAAGUGGGAAAGGAUGUGGAGUUGCCCAGACAACCAGGAUGUUGGCUUAGAAGCAGCCAUCAUUUAAAGAGUGCGUAAUAGCUCACUGGUCGAGUGACUCUGCGCCGAAAAUGUAACGGGGCUAAACGUACCGCCGAAGCUAUGGAUUGAUGCUUCUUGCAUCAGUGGUAGGGGAGCGUUGUGUACCGGGUUGAAGGCAGACCGGAAGGACUGCUGGACUGUACACAAGUGAGAAUGCCGGUAUGAGUAACGAAAAGACAUGUGAGAAUCAUGUCCGCCGAAAGCCUAAGGGUUCCUGGGGAAGGCUCGUCCGCCCAGGGUAAGUCGGGACCUAAGGCGAGGCCGAAAGGCGUAGUCGAAGGACAACAGGUUGAAAUUCCUGUACCACCGCAGCCGUUAUGAGCAAUGGGGGGACGCAGAAGGAUAGGGACGCGAGCUGAUGGAUGCUCGUCCAAGCAGUGAGGCUGGUCAGUAGGCAAAUCCGCUGACCGUAAGGCUGGGCUGUGACGGGGAGGGAAAAUUACAGUACCGAAGGUCUUGAUUUCAUGCUGCCAAGAAAAGCCUCUAGCCAGGUGAAGGUGCCCGUACCGCAAACCGACACAGGUAGGCGAGAAGAGAAUUCUAAGGCGCGCGGAAGAACUCUCGUUAAGGAACUCGGCAAAAUGACCCCGUAACUUUGGGAGAAGGGGUGCCCCGGUAGGGUGAAUAGCCCGAGGGGGCCGCAGUGAAUAGGCCCGAGCGACUGUUUAGCAAAAACACAGGUCUGUGCGAAGCCGUAAGGCGAAGUAUACGGGCUGACGCCUGCCCGGUGCUGGAAGGUUAAGGGGAGUGGUUAGCUCUUAGAGCGAAGCUAUGAACCGAAGCCCCAGUAAACGGCGGCCGUAACUAUAACGGUCCUAAGGUAGCGAAAUUCCUUGUCAGGUAAAUUCUGACCCGCACGAAUGGCGUAACGACUUGGGCGCUGUCUCAACGAGAGAUCCGGUGAAAUUUUAAUACCUGUGAAGAUGCAGGUUACCCGCGACAAGACGGAAAGACCCCAUGGAGCUUUACUGCAGCUUGAUAUUGGACUUUGGUACGGUCUGUACAGGAUAGGUGGGAGCCUUAGAAGCCGGAGCGCCAGCUUCGGUGGAGGCGCCGUUGGGAUACCACCCUGAUCGUAUCGGAGUUCUAACCUGGGACCGUGAAGCCGGUUCGGGGACAGUGUCAGGCGGGCAGUUUGACUGGGGCGGUCGCCUCCUAAAGAGUAACGGAGGCGCCCCAAGGUUCCCUCAGAAUGGUUGGAAAUCAUUCGAAGAGUGCAAAGGCAGAAGGGAGCUUGACUGCGAGACCUACAAGUCGAGCAGGGACGAAAGUCGGGCUUAGUGAUCCGGUGGUACCGCAUGGAAGGGCCAUCGCUCAACGGAUAAAAGCUACCCUGGGGAUAACAGGCUUAUCUCCCCCAAGAGUCCACAUCGACGGGGAGGUUUGGCACCUC